GGCUAGAGCAUCGCAUUUGGAAUGCGACGGGCGUCGCUUCGAAUCCGACAA
This 51-nucleotide transfer RNA is filed under the name uncultured Pyramimonadales. Its description in RNAcentral is "partial tRNA". The record is from RNAcentral. Lineage: Eukaryota; Viridiplantae; Chlorophyta; Pyramimonadophyceae; Pyramimonadales.